This 127-nucleotide small RNA is filed under the name Marmota monax (woodchuck). The record is from RNAcentral. Lineage: Eukaryota; Metazoa; Chordata; Mammalia; Rodentia; Sciuridae.
GCCAGGUGCAGUGACGUAUGCCUGUAAUCCUAGAAACUUAGGAGGCUGAGGCAGGAGGAUUGUGAGUUCAAAGGCAGCCUCAGCAGAUUAGUGAGGCACCUAGCAACUCAGUGAGACCCUGUCUCUA